Molecule: ribosomal RNA, 253 nt
Filed under: uncultured bacterium
Lineage: Bacteria
Description: partial 16S ribosomal RNA
Rfam family: Bacterial small subunit ribosomal RNA
Source: RNAcentral
UACGUAGGGCGCAAGCGUUGUCCGGAAUUAUUGGGCGUAAAGAGCGUGUAGGCGGCCAGGUAGGUCGGUUGUGAAAACUGGAGGCUCAACCUUCAGACGUCGACCGAAACCAUCUGGCUAGAGUCCGGGAGAGGAGAGUGGAAUUCCUGGUGUAGCGGUGAAAUGCGCAGAUAUCAGGAAGAACACCCGUGGCGAAAGCGGCUCUCUGGAACGGUACUGACGCUGAGACGCGAAAGCGUGGGGAGCGAACAGG